CCUACGGGUGGCAGCAGUGGGGAAUUUUCCGCAAUGGGCGAAAGCCUGACGGAGCAAUACCGCGUGAGGGAGGAAGGCUCUUGGGUCGUAAACCUCUUUUCUCAGGGAAGAAACACAUGACGGUCCCUGAGGCAUCAGCAUCGGCUAACUCCGUGCCAGCAGCCGCGGUAAUACGGAGGAUGCAAGCGUUAUCCGGAAUGAUUGGGCGUAAAGCGUCCGCAGGUGGCACAUCAAGUCUGCUGUCAAAGCCCCCAGCUUAACUGGGAAGAGGCGGUGGAAACUGGUGAGCUAGAGAGCAAUAGGGGUAGAGGGAAUUCCCGGUGUAGCGGUGAAAUGCGUAGAGAUCGGGAAGAAAACCAGUGGCGAAAGCGCUCUACUAGGUUGCAACUGACACUGAGGGACGAAAGCUAGGGGAGCGAAUGGGAUUAGAUACCCGGGUAGUC
Molecule: ribosomal RNA, 443 nt
Filed under: uncultured bacterium
Lineage: Bacteria
Description: partial 16S ribosomal RNA
Rfam family: Bacterial small subunit ribosomal RNA
Source: RNAcentral